UGACUGAUUCUCGUAUCCAUGCAGGAAAAAGGGGAAUCUUGUGAGAACUCGACGGAUAAACUCCCCGGGAUGAGACUGACCAAUUCAUCUAUGCCAGCAUCUUACUUUGAACGUCGUGUGACCGUGCUCUUUCGAUGACGUACCAGGAGGAUGCAACGUAUUACUCUAUGUAGAACGUCCCUGAUGACGGGACGCUACUGCAAACUUCAUCAAAGUCUGAGGCCGCCCGUGUUAUACGCUCGUUAGUUCUACUUGGCUACCACACUAAUAGAAAACAUCACCAACCGUAUCUUCUACUCAAGGAUUGACGGUAAUGCUACCUCCAGGCGAAUCGCUUGGACGUUAUACCGCCUGUGCGAUGACUCCGGCUACUUUUACUUUCUUCAUUAAUUUUUACUGAUAUCUCUCCUGUUUGUUCGAGAUCGACAUUAUUCCAUCCAGGCACGCUCGCUAACUACAGACGAUUUUCUCCGUUGUAAUGUCGCCGUGGCUGAUAAAAAAAAUGACGAUCUGGAGCCAACAGGCGCCAACCUGACCAUAGGGGACCUCCCUAAAAAAAGAGCUCUUCUUUUACGAUAAGGACUACGUGCAGAUUACACCUAUUGGAGUUUUCAUGGGACUAAUACGUUACAACAAGAGAUGUGGCGGCGGGCACGUUUUACAAGGAUAUGAUUAAUUAUAAACUAAAAAACAAACGAUAUUAAUGAUAUUGAGACUCGA
Molecule: long non-coding RNA, 720 nt
Organism: Drosophila willistoni
Lineage: Eukaryota; Metazoa; Arthropoda; Insecta; Diptera; Drosophilidae
Exons: 4
Source: RefSeq, a predicted model, not a curated record